This 424-nucleotide ribosomal RNA is filed under the name uncultured prokaryote. RNAcentral's name for it is "bacterial SSU rRNA". It matches the Rfam family "Bacterial small subunit ribosomal RNA", at positions 355 to 796 of the family's 1533-position model. The record is from RNAcentral.
UGGGGAAUCUUGGACAAUGGGGGCAACCCUGAUCCAGCCAUGCCGCGUGAGUGAUGAAGGCCCUAGGGUUGUAAAGCUCUUUCGCCGGUGAAGAUAAUGACGGUAACCGGUAAAGAAGCCCCGGCUAACUUCGUGCCAGCAGCCGCGGUAAUACGGAGGGUGCGAGCGUUAAUCGGAAUUACUGGGCGUAAAGCGCGCGUAGGUGGUUGUGUAAGUCGGAUGUGAAAGCCCAGGGCUUAACCUUGGAAUUGCACCCGAUACUGCAUGACUAGAGUAUGGUAGAGGGAAGUGGAAUUUCCGGUGUAGCGGUGAAAUGCGUAGAUAUCGGAAGGAACACCAGUGGCGAAGGCGACUUCCUGGGCCAAUACUGACACUGAGGUGCGAAAGCGUGGGGAGCAAACAGGAUUAGAUACCCCUGUAGUCC